This 463-nucleotide ribosomal RNA is filed under the name uncultured bacterium. RNAcentral's name for it is "bacterial SSU rRNA". It matches the Rfam family "Bacterial small subunit ribosomal RNA", at positions 917 to 1382 of the family's 1533-position model. The record is from RNAcentral.
GGGCCCGCACAAGCGGAGGAGCAUGUGGUUUAAUUCGAUGAUACGCGAGGAACCUUACCAAGGCUUAAAUGGGAGACGACAGAUUUGGAAACAGAUCUUUCUUCGGACGUCUUUCAAGGUGCUGCAUGGUUGUCGUCAGCUCGUGCCGUGAGGUGUCAGGUUAAGUCCUAUAACGAGCGCAACCCCUGUUGUUAGUUGCCAGCGAGUCAUGUCGGGAACUCUAGCAAGACUGCCAGUGCAAACUGUGAGGAAGGUGGGGAUGACGUCAAAUCAUCACGGCCCUUACGCCUUGGGCUACACACGUGCUACAAUGGACGGUACAGAGAGCAGCCACUACGCAAGUAGGAGCGAAUCUACAAAACCGUUCUCAGUUCGGAUCGGAGUCUGCAACUCGACUCCGUGAAGCUGGAUUCGCUAGUAAUCGCAGAUCAGCCAUGCUGCGGUGAAUACGUUCCCGGGCCUU